CGUCCUUUUGUCUCGGCCAACAUUUCUCCUCUAAAAAUGUUUCCUCUGCGGUGGACAUUCAAAAUACAUUGUAUCGUCUAUUCGAGUCUGCUUGGAAACCGGAAGUUCCGGUGACCAGCGGAAUUUACAGAUCCGCAAGCGGAAAAAUUCAGUACCGUUACUGGCAUUCACAGUGUUUCCGUGCUUGUCGUUUCACUUGAGAAAAAUAGCAAUUGUUGGAGCCACCUUGAAAAAAUGGAAAAAAAGUGAGAAAAACGUAUUUUUUACAGUCUAUUUAAAUUUAUAAUUUUCCAAGUUAACAUUCAUAUAGUAAAGUUAAAUAAAU
Molecule: long non-coding RNA, 325 nt
Organism: Leptopilina heterotoma
Lineage: Eukaryota; Metazoa; Arthropoda; Insecta; Hymenoptera; Figitidae
Exons: 3
Source: RefSeq, a predicted model, not a curated record